Molecule: ribosomal RNA, 710 nt
Filed under: Roseovarius sp.
Lineage: Bacteria; Pseudomonadati; Pseudomonadota; Alphaproteobacteria; Rhodobacterales; Roseobacteraceae
Description: bacterial SSU rRNA
Rfam family: Bacterial small subunit ribosomal RNA
Source: RNAcentral
CAGGGCGGCAGCUACACAUGCAGUCGAGCGAGAACUUCGGUUCUAGCGGCGGACGGGUUAGUAACGCGUGGGAACGUGCCCUUCACUACGGAAUAGUCCCGGGAAACUGGGUUUAAUACCGUAUACGCCCUUCGGGGGAAAGAAUUUCGGUGAAGGAUCGGCCCGCGUUAGAUUAGAUAGUUGGUGGGGUAACGGCCUACCAAGUCUACGAUCUAUAGCUGGUUUUAGAGGAUGAUCAGCAACACUGGGACUGAGACACGGCCCAGACUCCUACGGGAGGCAGCAGUGGGGAAUCUUAGACAAUGGGCGCAAGCCUGAUCUAGCCAUGCCGCGUGAGUGAUGAAGGCCUUAGGGUCGUAAAGCUCUUUCGCCAGGGAUGAUAAUGACAGUACCUGGUAAAGAAACCCCGGCUAACUCCGUGCCAGCAGCCGCGGUAAUACGGAGGGGGUUAGCGUUGUUCGGAAUUACUGGGCGUAAAGCGCGCGUAGGCGGAUUGGAAAGUUGGGGGUGAAAUCCCAGGGCUCAACCCUGGAACUGCCUCCAAAACUAUCAGUCUAGAGUUCGAGAGAGGUGAGUGGAACUCCGAGUGUAGAGGUGAAAUUCGUAGAUAUUCGGAAGAACACCAGUGGCGAAGGCGGCUCACUGGCUCGAUACUGACGCUGAGGUGCGAAAGUGUGGGGAGCAAACAGGAUUAGAUACCCUGGUAGUCC